Thalassophryne amazonica is the source of this 155-nucleotide long non-coding RNA. RefSeq lists it as uncharacterized. The transcript has 3 exons. Lineage: Eukaryota; Metazoa; Chordata; Actinopteri; Batrachoidiformes; Batrachoididae. The record is from RefSeq and is a predicted model, not a curated record.
CAGGAGUUACGCAGGAGUAACAUAUUACAAAUAAAGAACAAUGGGAGGGGUGGAAGAGCCCAAAAUAUGCUAAUUUAUGUUAAUUAGACAUGAGCAUCAAAGGAACCAGUCAAACAACUGAAAUCUUGUAUCUGUCAUCAAAAAAAGGACUGAAA